UAAAUAGCUGCUUGCUAUGUUCUUCUCUCAUGUGUACCUUUUGUGUGUUUGCUCUCUGUUAUGGUUUGUGUUGUUGCACAUGGUUCUCGGCGCGUUUCUUGGACGUCCUUCGGCUUCUCUUCUUCCGUUGGUGCUCUUGAUGGGAGGUUGGCUACUGAGGAUAGUACUAAUCCUGGUGAGUAUAGUUUUUUCGGGCUAUGAUUUGCUGAUUUUUUUAGUCUUUUUUAUUGUGUUGAUGAUGCUGUGUGAUUUUAGGUUUGAGGGCUGAUGAGGCGCGGUGGGGACGCCAGGAACAAGAUAUUCGUCAUGGGAGACAUCCUCUGGAUUCAUUGUUUGGUGGGUAUUUGGCAUGUUUUUUUUGUUAUUGUUGUUUGUCCGCAUUCUUGUUUUAUAUAUCUUUUUGCUUUAAUUUUCUCUAAUAUUUCUUGCUGAUUUAUUGAUUUUUGCGGUUGGAAGGAAUGUUCGGCCUGCGCGCUUGAAGAAUUGGUUGAUCCUUAAGGGUUUGAUUUUUCUUGGUUUUUGUUUGAAACUUUUUACCCCUGCUGAUUGAACGACGCAUGUGCACGGUGGCUUUUCAGGAUGUGGUCAAUCUCUUGCUUGGUCUUUUAAGAACAUUUUAUUUACUGCUGGAUGGAGGUUGUGGGCUCUCCUAGAAGGUUCCGAAUUCAGCAGAAUCAGCUUGCAUGUAUGUGUUUCUUCUAGAGAUUGUAUGGGCUGAUUUUGUCUCAUGUGAAAAAAACAGUUUGACUGCAUGCAUGCAGCCACGUUUGCCUGUUUGGAGUUCCUUCUCUAUUCCAUCGCUGCACAUGUUGUGUUCUGGGUUCUUCCAGUGUGUUUCAUUUUUUUCCUCUCCCCUUUUGCCUUCCUAUAAGUAGUUCUUUGCUCCUUCUCUCCUGUGUACUUGUGUGUGUGCUCUCUGGUAUGGUUCGUGCUGUUGCACAUGCUUCCGAUGUGUUCGUUCAAUGUCCUUGGGCUCCUCUUCUUCGGUUGGUGCUUCUGAUGGGGGGGUUGGCUGUUGCGGGUGCUUCUACUCCUCGUGAGUAUUGUUCUUUAUGGACUAUGAUUUGUUGAUUUUUGUAGUGUUGAGUAUCAUGAUUAAUUAGGAAACAUAAAAUAGACUAGGAAUUAUUCUGGCUUGUCUUGUACUCCAAGUUGAUCAUGUACUCAUAUAUAUAUGCCCACGAGGCUCAAGCAAUACAACAACUAUUCCACAAAUCCUCUCUCUCCCUUCUAACAUGGUAUCUAUCGCAAGUCGAUCCUAAACCCUAGCCGCCGCCGCUUCCGCACCUGCGCGCCGCCCCGGUGCGGUCGGCCUCCAUGACCGCCGCCGGGGGCCGCGCCGCCCGUACCUAGGGUUCGUCCGCCGGCCGUGUUGGCCGGCUGCCCUAGAGAGUCUUUUUUCCCGAUCCUUUGAUCGGGGUUUUCUCUCUUCGCCGGUCGCCUUGAUCGGCAUCUACUUUUUGGUUUUCCGAUCUCUUCGUGAUCGGUUUGUGUCGCCCGCCGCCGCCGUCGAUCCCCGUGCGCCUCUACUCCGACCCCGGCGCGACCAGCCGGCCUCUCCUCCGACCCGGUGGCCACGCGCGCCGAGGCGGCCCGUCCGGGCCAGCCGCCGUCCGCGCGUCGGUCCGCCCGUCGCCCUGCGCCGGUCGUCAUCGCCCUGCACCGACCGGGACACACCUGCAUCGCCGCGACCCGGCGGCCUCGCGCCAUGCGUCGGCCAAUCAUAGCCGACGCUCGCGCGCCGGCCCGCCCAUCGAUCCACGUCACCCGCCUCCGCCGCGUCUGCACGGCGACUCGGCGAUCUACCUUGCCGGCCUCGUCCUCGGCUGCAUCAGGCUCGUCGGCCGCCUCAACUCGGGCGCCGCUGCUCCGUUGGUCGUUCGGGCCUCGCUGCCCGGGCGUCGGCGCUGUUUUGGCAGCCCGGGUGCCGGUGCUGACGUCUCCCGCCGUCCGUCGUUGCCGGCCUCAUCCCGGACUCCGCCGUCACCACUCCUCCAUCGAGCGGCGUCCCCGACCUCACGCGCGAUCGGAUUGAUCACCCGCCCGCCGCCACGAUCCGCCUCAUCUCCGCCGCGCGACCGACCUGGCCCGUUGGUUACGCGCGCCUCCGCAGGUCCCGUGAAGAUCAUCCUCGAGUUCAGCGCGCCUCUCCACCGAUCGAGCAUCGGGCUGCCGCUGCGUCGCCCCGUCGGGCCGCAGCGCCGCCGCCACGUGGUUCUCCUCACAGCUGCACCGACCCGCGUCACCGCUGCGUCGCCCCUUCCGGCCGUAGUGCCGCGGCCCGCGGUCCUCCGCCGCUCCGGGGCCGUCCGCUCCAGGCCAUCCCCGUGGCUGCACCGACCCUCGCACCGCUGCUGCGUCGCCCCGUCGGGCCGUAGCGAGCGUGGCACGUGGUCCACGCCGCUGUCCUGAGGCCGUCCCCGCGGUUGCACCGACUNNN
This 2440-nucleotide long non-coding RNA is filed under the name Triticum aestivum (bread wheat). RNAcentral describes it as "long non-coding RNA (TAES_LNC007697)". The record is from RNAcentral. Lineage: Eukaryota; Viridiplantae; Streptophyta; Magnoliopsida; Poales; Poaceae.